This 272-nucleotide ribosomal RNA is filed under the name uncultured bacterium. RNAcentral describes it as "partial 16S ribosomal RNA". It matches the Rfam family "Bacterial small subunit ribosomal RNA", at positions 524 to 796 of the family's 1533-position model. The record is from RNAcentral.
UACGAAGGGGGCUAGCGUUGUUCGGAAUCACUGGGCGUAAAGGGCGCGUAGGCGGCUUUGUAAGUCGGGGGUGAAAGCCUGUGGCUCAACCACAGAAUUGCCUUCGAUACUGCAUGGCUUGAGACCGGAAGAGGUUAGUGGAACUGCGAGUGUAGAGGUGAAAUUCGUAGAUAUUCGCAAGAACACCAGUGGCGAAGGCGGCUGACUGGUCCGGAUCUGACGCUGAGGCGCGAAAGCGUGGGGAGCAAACAGGAUUGGAAAACAUGUAGUCC